GGGGGUUUAGCCCAGCGGAAGGGCACCCGCCUGGCGCGCGCGAGACCCUGGGUUCAGUUCUCAGCCCUG
RNAcentral lists this transfer RNA (69 nucleotides) under Dipodomys ordii (Ord's kangaroo rat). It matches the Rfam family "tRNA". Rfam says of the family: Transfer RNA (tRNA) molecules are approximately 80 nucleotides in length. Their secondary structure includes four short double-helical elements and three loops (D, anti-codon, and T loops). Further hydrogen bonds mediate the characteristic L-shaped molecular structure. tRNAs have two regions of fundamental functional importance: the anti-codon, which is responsible for specific mRNA codon recognition, and the 3' end, to which the tRNAs corresponding amino acid is attached (by aminoacyl-tRNA synthetases). tRNAs cope with the degeneracy of the genetic code in two manners: having more than one tRNA (with a specific anti-codon) for a particular amino acid; and 'wobble' base-pairing, i.e. permitting non-standard base-pairing at the 3rd anti-codon position. The record is from Rfam by way of RNAcentral. Lineage: Eukaryota; Metazoa; Chordata; Mammalia; Rodentia; Heteromyidae.